GGCGGAAUUGGUAGACGCGCACGACUCAAAAUCGUGUUCCUUCGGGAGUGAGGGUUCGAUUCCCUCC
RNAcentral lists this transfer RNA (67 nucleotides) under Candidatus Peregrinibacteria bacterium. RNAcentral describes it as "tRNA-Leu". It matches the Rfam family "tRNA", at positions 9 to 64 of the family's 71-position model. From Rfam's summary of the family: Transfer RNA (tRNA) molecules are approximately 80 nucleotides in length. Their secondary structure includes four short double-helical elements and three loops (D, anti-codon, and T loops). Further hydrogen bonds mediate the characteristic L-shaped molecular structure. tRNAs have two regions of fundamental functional importance: the anti-codon, which is responsible for specific mRNA codon recognition, and the 3' end, to which the tRNAs corresponding amino acid is attached (by aminoacyl-tRNA synthetases). tRNAs cope with the degeneracy of the genetic code in two manners: having more than one tRNA (with a specific anti-codon) for a particular amino acid; and 'wobble' base-pairing, i.e. permitting non-standard base-pairing at the 3rd anti-codon position. Lineage: Bacteria; Candidatus Peregrinibacteriota. The record is from RNAcentral.